AUUGAACGCUGGCGGCAGGCCUAACACAUGCAAGUCGGGCGGUAGCACAGGAGAGCUUGCUCUCUGGGUGACGAGCGGCGGACGGGUGAGUAAUGUCUGGGAAACUGCCUGAUGGAGGGGGAUAACUACUGGAAACGGUAGCUAAUACCGCAUAACGUCGCAAGAACAAAGAAGGGGACCGUCGGUCCUCUUGCCAUCGGACGUGCCCAAAUGGGAUUAGCUAGUAGGUGAGGUAAAGGCUCACCUAGGUGACGAUCCCUAGCUGGUCUGAGAGGAUGACCAGCCACAAUGGAACUGAGACACGGUCCAGACUCCUACGGGAGGCAGCAGUGGGGAAUAUUGCACAAUGGGCGCAAGCCUGAUGCAGCCAUGCCGCGUGUAUGAAGAAGGCCUUCGGGUUGUAAAGUACUUUCAACGGGGAGGAAGGUGUUGUGGUUAAUAACCGCAGCAAUUGACGUUACCCGCAGAAGAAGCACCGGCUAACUCCGUGCCAGCCGCCGCCGUAA
RNAcentral lists this ribosomal RNA (506 nucleotides) under uncultured bacterium. Its description in RNAcentral is "partial 16S ribosomal RNA". It matches the Rfam family "Bacterial small subunit ribosomal RNA", at positions 30 to 523 of the family's 1533-position model. The record is from RNAcentral.